This 377-nucleotide ribosomal RNA is filed under the name uncultured bacterium. RNAcentral's name for it is "bacterial SSU rRNA". It matches the Rfam family "Bacterial small subunit ribosomal RNA", at positions 521 to 896 of the family's 1533-position model. The record is from RNAcentral.
UAAUACGGAGGAUGCAAGUGUUAUCCGGAAUCACUGGGCGUAAAGCGUCUGUAGGUGGUUUAAAAAGUCUAUGGUUAAAAGUUGAAGCUUAACUUCAAAGAUGCCGUGGAAACUUUUAGACUAGAGUAUGGUAGGGGUAGAGGGAAUUUCCAGUGAAGCGGUGAAAUGCGUAGAUAUUGGAAAGAACACCAAUGGCGAAGGCACUCUACUGGGCCACUACUGACACUGAGAGACGAAAGCUAGGGGAGCAAAUGGGAUUAGAUACCCCAGUAGUCCUAGCCGUAAACUAUGGAUACUAAAUGUUGCGUGUAUUGACCCACGCAGUGUUGUAGCUAACGCGUUAAGUAUCCCGCCUGGGAAGUAUGCUCGCAAGAGUG